GCGCGACCAACUUUCGCGGCUUACGAUUGAAUAGUAACCCCCUGCACGGAGCAUGGAAGACCCGGGGGGUGCGACCAACUUUCGUGGCUUAUGGUUAAAGGUCCACCCUGCACGGAGUUUGGCAGACCCGGGGGAUGCACACCACCUUCCAUGGCUUACGGUUAAGUGAACACCCUGCACGAGGCUUGGCAGACCCGGGGGGUGCACACCACCUCUCGUGACUUACGGUUAAGGACAACCUCUGCGCGGAGCAUGGAGGACCCGGGGGGUGUAACCAACUUUCGCGGCUUACGAUUAUGUGCCACCUCUGCGCGGAGCAUGGAAGGCCCGGUUGGCACGACCAACUUUCGCGGCUUACGAUUGAAAGAACACCCUGCACGGAGCAUGGAGGACCCGGGGGGUGCCACCAACUUUCGUGGCUUACGGUUAAAGCAACCUCUGCGCGGAGCAUGGAAAACCCGGGGGUGCAACAACUUUCGCGGCUUACGAUUAAGUGCUAUCUCUGCGCGGAGCAUGGAAGGCCCGACUGGCACAACCAACUUUCGCGGCUUUACGAUUGUCAGCAACCUCUGCGCGGAGCAUGGAGGGCCCGGAUGGCACAACCAACUUUCGCGGCUUACGAUUGUCAGCAA
This 632-nucleotide long non-coding RNA is filed under the name Salvia miltiorrhiza (redroot sage). Its description in RNAcentral is "long non-coding RNA (SMIL_LNC007116)". Lineage: Eukaryota; Viridiplantae; Streptophyta; Magnoliopsida; Lamiales; Lamiaceae. The record is from RNAcentral.